Molecule: long non-coding RNA, 2251 nt
Filed under: Selaginella moellendorffii
Lineage: Eukaryota; Viridiplantae; Streptophyta; Lycopodiopsida; Selaginellales; Selaginellaceae
Description: long non-coding RNA (SMOE_LNC000250)
Source: RNAcentral
UUCUAUCACCAGAGCUUGGACUUUGUAUUGUUGUUUAUGCAAUCUUCCAGCAGGGAGAUCUCCGCAGGGCUGGGCUCAUUUGAAAUUCCAAGGCCCUCUAUUGCUCCACAGAUUUGGCUGAGCAGCGCCUGAUCAUUUGGGAUGUGAUGGAGCGUAAGCUUCCGUAGAGUUGUUCCAGCCUUGAAGAAGGCAGGGGUCAAGUAUUCAUUCUCAUCUAGGGACAGCUCCCAGAUCUUGCAGGCUGGAUCUUGCAGCAGCUUCUCCAGGUGGGGCGAGCAAUCGCAUUGUUUAAGCUCCAGACGUUCUAAAUACUUUGGAAGUGUUGAUCCUGCUAAAGCAUUUAAUUUUUUGUCGUCACGCAUAGGUAGAAAAAGCGUCUUGAGCUUGAUUGGCAUCCCCUUGUGCUUGGCAGCAGCAAUAGCUUCAUCCAAGCUGCGAAUCACUUCCUCGCCAAAAACUAUUAGAUCAAUUGCAAGGCUGCUUAGCUUGGACACAGCUGCUUCUAGAAACCCCUCCACUUUGUGGUAGCCCUCCCUCCACAGGAAUACGUGCUCCAGAGUGUUGUCCUCCUGCAGCAGCAGCUCGAGCAAGCCUUUGAAGUCUUCUGAAUGGAUGUUUGCUGUUCUGUAUCUCUGUUCCUUCAGCUCCCUCACACUCGACACCCCAUGGCUCCGCAUCUCAGCGAAAAUGCUUCCCAAAUCCUUGUAAUCAUCUAUCCGGGCCUGCUUUGGCUUCCCCAUAACUUCGAUUCAGGCGCGGUCGCUUUGUUUGGAUGGUUUCGAGCUCAUCCACAGCGGGCUAGACAGCUUUUUGGUGGAGGGAUUUGUUUAGAGUUUUUUUGCGGUACGGGGGACUGGCUUUCAUGGCAGCGACUUGGGAGGUACAUUUCUUGGAAGAGCUUGCUUGGAUUUGGAUCUAACGCGUCAAUGUUAUUGACUUGAUUCUCUCGUGGUUUUCUUGCUUUUUUUUUUGGUUUAGAACAUCCGCGACAGAGAACGGGGAUACGCAAAACAAAGAAGCAAAGAAAAGCGAGUAUAUUCGUUUCACGUGAAAUCAUCGAGUGCCGUAGAGAAACGAAAAGAUCUUUCUGGAAAUUCUUUAGACCAUAUCCAUUAAAGGGCUUUUUUUUAUAUUGCUCGAGGUUUAGAGGGUUUCUAGGGUUUAGCGAUGGCGAUCUCUCGAUAGAGUGAGCGAUCGCGGCACGGGGAAGAGGUUCGUUCUUCCAUUUUAACACGAACCCGACAGAAGAAAACGUUUUAAGUACCUUCAAAUCCUCGUCGAGCUUUCUUUCCUCCUUUCAUAAAGAAUCAUAAAAUGCAUAACAUAAAAUGCAAUAAUACCAACAAAGGGUAAAUAAUUUUACUUCUCUGUGGUUUAGGGCUCGUGGCUCUGGAGUGGAGCGAAUGGCGCUCGCCGGUGAGCUCCAAAUGCACUAGCUCUCAUGCUCCCGCCCAAGCGAGCUGAUGGAGUCAGGGCCUACAUUGCCACGGAUUCCAGGGACGUAGAGGGCGACGAUGGGGAAGUACUCUCCCAUUGUUUGGGACCUUGACGACGGCAGGAAAUCUGAUGCGGCGUCGCCCUUGUCUAGAUUCUCCGAGGCGGCUGCUGCUGGAGAGGAUGCCUUCUUGGACUCGAUCGACGCAGGCAGGAGCUCACCGCGGAUAUUGCCACAGCGCAAGGAUACGAAUCAAAGUGGUCGUCAGCAAAGUAUCGGUAAGGAACUUCUUAUAGUUAAUUGACACGAGGCACAUUCUUAUUGACGGUACGAUUCUUUGUGUCACAUAAGCAAUAAUACAGGUUCUCCAAAACUGUAUAGACCAUGGAAUAACUAAUCUCGAUCCAACGGUCGGCAACGGUGCGAUCAACUUAACUGGCGCGUGAACGAUGAGCAUACACCAAAUUACACAGCAAUCAAGAUAAUGUUAUACUGGAGAUUGGCAAACCUGCUAGAAGGUAUAGUCGUUUCAAAUAGGUUGGAGAAUAACCUAUGCCUGGGAAACAACGAUGCUUGACAAAUCUGGAUUCAUUUGAUGGCCUGGGAUUGCACUGUCCUCAAAUUUGGCCCGAUGAAAAGCCAAACUGGUCAAAGAGUGAUAUCUAAAAGCGCAUGGAGCGUGAGGGAGGGAGCGAGAAGACCCCAAACAAACUUGCAAAUUUAUUUGCUUCUUGUCUGAGCCAGCCAAAACAAGAUAGAAUAGAUAGGAUAGAUAGAUAAAAAGUAGUCAGAAAUUUAGUAAAGAAGAAAUCUUAG